Molecule: long non-coding RNA, 429 nt
Filed under: Trifolium pratense (red clover)
Lineage: Eukaryota; Viridiplantae; Streptophyta; Magnoliopsida; Fabales; Fabaceae
Description: long non-coding RNA (TPRA_LNC006402)
Source: RNAcentral
CUUAGGGUUAGGAGAUGAGAUGAUAGCAACAUCUUCAGCAGCAUCAUAAUCUGAGUUACUGGAUGACUCCAUCUUCCUCUUCAGGGUCUCCUUUUUCUUGCUUUUUCCUCCAAGGCUCUCCACUUGUAUUGGCCCCAUAAGGUCUAUGUGCAGCAAUUCUAGCACCCUUGUUGUGGUAAGAUGUUGCAACUUUGGAUGUGACAUCUUUAUCUGCUUCCCUAUUUGGCAUUCUCCACAUAUGCUUCCUUCCUCUAUUUUGAGCUUAGGAAGACCUCUGAUUGUCUCUUUAGCUAUUGCCUUUUUCAUGCCCUUAAGGUGCAGGUGGCCAAGUUUUUGGUACCACAACUUUACCUCAUCUUCUUUGCUAAUAAAACAUGUGGAUAAAUUGUCUUCUUCUUUAGGGAUCCAAAGAUAACAGUUGUCUCUUGA